This is a long non-coding RNA of Trachemys scripta elegans, 614 nucleotides long. RefSeq lists it as uncharacterized. The record is from RefSeq and is a predicted model, not a curated record. Lineage: Eukaryota; Metazoa; Chordata; Testudines; Emydidae. The transcript is spliced from 4 exons.
ACUCCUCCAUGGCUCUGAAUCAACAGAGGGAAGGCACCAGCUAAGGAAGCUCUCUCUGCAGGAAGGCAUAGGAGAGACUCUACCCAAGAAGCAGUGCAGAGACUGACUGACUUUCAGGGAGUAAGGAGCUGUGCCCAGCUGAAACUGAGAUGAAGGCUUCAUGAGACUGUAUCAGUGGAAGCUGUAGUAUUGUGUAUUUCAUUAUAACCCUUCCAUCAGGACAUCCCAGCAAGGAAUCUGGAAUCUACAAAACUAACAAGCUUUUACUUUGUGUUCUUCAGCCGUGAGAAUUGUUCUAAUAUCAUGGAGCUGUGGCAGAGACUCCAUCGAACACUCAAUGGAAACCUAUCAAAGACAACUGCAAACAAUCAAAACCACAGGGAGGUAAAAAAGGGACAUUUUGACAGAUCGAGGAUCACCCUGUCUUUAAUAGAGAUGGGGAAAAUGUUUCAGUAUAACGGAGUGGGGAAAGGCACUGUGGAUCCAUUCAUUGAGGAGACAUCUUGUUGAGUGAAAGUUUUUCAUGAAGAAUUGAAUCCUGGUUCCUGUAAAGCCAGUCAGCUCUGCAAGGGUCUGAACUAUUUUUGUGUGGGGGAGCAUACUUUAUUAGUUAC